Molecule: non-coding RNA, 104 nt
Organism: Chelonoidis abingdonii (Abingdon island giant tortoise)
Lineage: Eukaryota; Metazoa; Chordata; Testudines; Testudinidae
Source: RefSeq, a predicted model, not a curated record
UAAAAUGUCCAAGCCACAAAUGAACGAUAUAAACUGUUUUCAAACCAAGGCCAGAUUCCUGAAUGGGGAUAACCCGUGAUCAUGCCCGUCGGCGUUUCAGAACC